This 355-nucleotide ribosomal RNA is filed under the name uncultured bacterium. RNAcentral describes it as "bacterial SSU rRNA". It matches the Rfam family "Bacterial small subunit ribosomal RNA", at positions 8 to 350 of the family's 1533-position model. The record is from RNAcentral.
AGAGUUUGAUCAUGGCUCAGGAUGAACGCUAGCUACAGGCUUAACACAUGCAAGUCGAGGGGAAACGACAUCGAAAGCUUGCUUUUGAUGGGCGUCGACCGGCGCACGGGUGAGUAACGCGUAUCCAACCUGCCCACCACUUGGGGAUAACCUUGCGAAAGUAAGACUAAUACCCAAUGACGUCUCUAGAAGACAUCUGAAGGAGAUUAAAGAUUUAUCGGUGAUGGAUGGGGAUGCGUCUGAUUAGCUUGUUGGCGGGGUAACGGCCACCAAGGCGACGAUCAGUAGGGGUUCUGAGAGGAAGGUCCCCCACAUUGGAACUGAGACACGGUCCAAAACGUCCCUACGGGAGCGA